AGUGAACGCUGGCGGUAGGCCUAACACAUGCAAGUCGAACGGCAGCACAGUAAGAGCUUGCUCUUACGGGUGGCGAGUGGCGGACGGGUGGGAAAUACAUCGGAAUCUACUUUUUCGUGGGGGAUAACGGCGGGAAACUUACGCUAAUACCGCAUACGACCUACGGGUGGAAUCAUGGGUUCUUCGGACCUUGCGCGACUGAAUGAGCCGAUGUCGGAUUAGCUAGUUGGCGGGGUAAAGGCCCACCAAGGCGACGAUCCGUAGCUGGUCUGAGAGGAUGAUCAGCCACACUGGAACUGAGACACGGUCCAGACUCCUACGGGAGGCAGCAGUGGGGAAUAUUGGACAAUGGGCGCAAGCCUGAUCCAGCCAUACCGCGUGGGUGAAGAAGGCCUUCGGGUUGUAAAGCCCUUUUGUUGGGAAAGAAAAGCAGCAGGUUAAUACCCCGCUGUUCUGACGGUACCCAAAGAAUAAGCACCGGCUAACUUCGUG
This 492-nucleotide ribosomal RNA is filed under the name uncultured bacterium. RNAcentral describes it as "partial 16S ribosomal RNA". It matches the Rfam family "Bacterial small subunit ribosomal RNA", at positions 29 to 507 of the family's 1533-position model. The record is from RNAcentral.